UUGGCUUAUAAUUAAUUUAGUUAUGUUACUUAUAUAUUUCUAUUUUUCCUGCUGAUUUUUAAUGUUAUAACAUAAGAUUUGUUGUGACGAGCUAGUAAUAUUUUAAAAUUUUUAUAGGAUUGGAAGUCAUGUAAAUAUCUAAAUUACAUCUUAUCUAAAAGCAAAAUUACUUUCCAUCACUGGACAACUUAAUUAAUUGCCUUUUUCUUAAUUAUUCUUGGUCACGUUUAAUAUUUUCAUUAAAUUACUUUUAUUAGUAUUAAAUUAUGGAAGUACAACUGUUGUGCUUGAUCUAUAUUGAAUAUUUUUUUUUUUAAAAUCUAUAUUAAAUAUUAUUUUAAUUGUAAAAAGAAUCACAAAGAAGCCUUCGGAUGAAUUAUACAAUAAAUAUUAGAUCUCAUGUAAAUAAAUUUAUAAAUUAAGAAUGCAGAAUUAUACAAUAAAUAUUAGAUCUCAUGUAAAUAAUUUAUAAAUUAACAAUAUGCAGCACCAUCAAAACAAACGACAAAGAAAAAGGUGCAAAUUUACCAUUUUAUUUAUUUAUUUGUUACUUUCUGUGAAUAUUCAUAAAAAUGUAUAUUAUUAUUUCAACAAUUUUUUGUUUACUUAAGCACCACGCUAUACUGAUAUUCGACAAAUAUAUUGGAAAUUUCAAUAAAAUUAUAAAUAAUUUAAUUGAAACAAAAAGAAAAAGCGUGCAAGUUUAACAAAAAAAGGAUCUAGUAUGAAUCAUUAACUUGAGUUUUACUUGAAAUAGUCCAAAUUUUAACAUUUGAUGUCUAAUAUUUCUUGAUGGUGAAAAGAGCAAUAUCUAAGUGGGGUAAAAAAGUAUUCGUGCUAAUGUUUUUGUACUAAUAUUUCGCUGAUUAAUUAUUCAAAGAACUAAAGAAACACUAAAAGUGGUUAUUUUUAUUUGUUCAGAAUUCCAAAAGAUAAUCAAUAAUUUAUAGUUAAUUCAAGUUGACAAAAAAAUUCGGAUAAUGAAAAUUACAUUGAUUUGAUAUAAAUAUCUAACACGGAUAAAUUUUAUCUAUAUAUAUUUACCUCCUAAUUGGCGCUGAGGAGUCUUCAUCUUGACAUCCAUCGUCACUUCCCAUGCUGGUAAAAAAGGGGUCAACCCGGUGACGCAUCGACGUCUUGAGCAAGUGAGAGCCAUGAUCCAAGGCCGGGUGCUGUCGCAAUCCGCAUAAGUAACUUUAAUCGAAGAUUGCGCAACUGCCAAUAAAGACAUUGCUCUACGACUCCUUAGAGGUUGGGGAGUGGAAGAAGAUUCAUCAAUUUCAGGUGAAGCAGAAAGGAAGAAAGUGAUGCAAUUCAUAAAUAUUGCUUGCUUAAGAGAUAUCAAUGAAGACAAACAAAAGUUACUUGCGCUAACUUCACAAAAGGGGGAAUGCGACAUUUAAAGAAAAGGAAAAAAUUAUAAAAAAAAGGAGGUAAUGCAUUUGUAAGGGGGAAGCUAAAAAAAGGAAAAAAGUGAGGAUUAAAGUGAAACUGAUGAGAGUGCAUUGCAACAAGUUGUACCACAUGUUUCAUUUGUUGAACAAACUAAGGGCAUAUUGAUAGGGGGAACAAUGAAACUUGAAACUGAGUCUACAAAAGUAUGUGAUUGUUGGAUCAUGUUGUUCUUUUUCAAACGAUAAUGGAUGAAUUGUGACACCAAGAAGGGAGCAUUAUGAAAAGAAUAAGUUAGAAUUGGGGAUGAUUAAGAUUGCAUGAACUCCCCUUAAUUAUUGGUUAGAAUAAUUGUUCUCCUAACUUUAUGAGCUAAAAUGUUAUUCAAUUAAGUCUUACAAAUUCAGUUGUAUGUCCCAAUUCCAGAUCCUUUACUUGUCUUAACCUAAUUUUGUAUUAUAUUGUGUAGAGAAAUGGUAAAAACAAGCAAUGAUGAUCACAAAAUUGCUCUUAUAAGAUAUGUUAUAUAUUGAUUGAGGUUAAUAUUUUAUAAAGUGAAACAGUUGAGCACUCA
Molecule: long non-coding RNA, 1966 nt
Organism: Solanum lycopersicum (tomato)
Lineage: Eukaryota; Viridiplantae; Streptophyta; Magnoliopsida; Solanales; Solanaceae
Source: RefSeq, a predicted model, not a curated record